CAGCAUGUGCCUGUCACAUUAUUGAGUUAUCUGCAGAUCUGCUUUCUCUGCUGGAAUCUGAGCAAUGUCCUGGUUCCCUUCCACCCGUGGCUCCAGGAAGGUCGGCCUGUCCUUGCUGAUGACUGGGCUUCCCCGCGCAGCCUCCUCCUGGCCCACUGGGACCCCCGUCAUUGCCCAGAGCCUCUCUCUCCCAUCCCCGCGUGGCCCACUCUGGUGGCUCCUAGCGUCACCUGGUAUGUGGUGCUCCCGGCUCGCUUUGCCACGUGUAACCUGAGCCGUCCCAUGGGCCCUGGCACUCCUGCUGCUGGUCAGGCUCAGCUGAGGUCAUCGGCCCACGCCAGGCCCUGGCUGAGCUUAGGCCUGAGGCCGAGCAGGAGCCGGUCGUCCUCGUGGGAGGCUUGAGCUGUGCUCAUGAACUCGCGCUUUAGAAAGCUCCUUCCAGCGAUCAUAUGAAUAAUCCACUGGAGGACAGCCAGCCAGGAC
RNAcentral lists this long non-coding RNA (483 nucleotides) under Marmota monax (woodchuck). The record is from RNAcentral. Lineage: Eukaryota; Metazoa; Chordata; Mammalia; Rodentia; Sciuridae.